GAAAGCGCUAGCAGGCGGGAGGAGGCCGGGCCAGCACGGAUCCGACCCGGGUGUGGGAUGGGGAUCAGCCCGUUCACGGAGCGCCUCCUGCACCAGGGGUUUUUGAAGCUCUUCAGUCCUGCCCGGUGUCCUUACAGACUUUACAGACGGAGAGACGCAGGCCCCGGGCGGUUAGGACGUGCAGAUGAGAAAACCAAGGCACAGAAAACUCAAGUUGUUGCUUCAAGUCAUAUGGCCACUAAAUAGGAAAGGCAGGAUUUGAACCCGGUGUCCUAUUCUGCCUUUGUAUGGAUGCACAUAGCUUCAAAAAAUCCCGCCUACGAAAACCCAAAUUCUCCCAAAGGGAAAGUGAGGCAGGAUUUGCUGCGGUAAAAGCACGACAUGCAUAGCUGUCCUGUGUGUGCGUGAUACUGGACAGUUUGCAAAGGACUUUCACGGCUCAGCGGGAUGAGGCCUCGCGCCAUCUUUGUUGAGGAGCGACUGCUUCUAAGUAGGAGAGGGCCUGUGGCUGACCUGAGGGGACCCCUGGGCUCCGGGAGCUGGGACUCCAACACUGGGCUCCCACGAAAAGGCCAGGCAUUUGCAUCGGAUAAACCACGUUUGCACCCUGGCUCCUUUCCUUUUUUUUGGUUUAAAUUUUUAUUUUAAAUUCAUUCUGGGCUUACAGGGGAGUUGCAAAGAGUGCAAUGAAUUCUUGUCUACCUUCACCUAGAUUCUUCAAAUGAUAACAUCUUACCCUAUUUGCUUUAUCCUUCUAUCAUCUAUCUAUCAUCCAUGCGUCUUUUUUUUUUUCUGAAAUACUUGAGAGUAAGUUGAAACAUACAUAUGUUUAUUUUCGGAAACAUUUGAGAGUAAGUUGCACAUACGCUAUUCCUUUACAAUAUCCAUAUGUAUUCCCCGAUACAAAGGAAUUCUUCUGCCCAACCACAAUCAAUGAUUAAAAUCAGGAAAUCGAUACAACCCGUGAUCUAAUCUACAGACUUGACUUAGAUUUUGCCAACUGUCCCAGUAACAUCCUCUAUAAAUAGCAGAAUAACAAUCAUCAUCGUUCCAG
This 1054-nucleotide long non-coding RNA is filed under the name Equus caballus (horse). RNAcentral describes it as "lncRNA (ENSECAG00000046501.1)". The record is from RNAcentral. Lineage: Eukaryota; Metazoa; Chordata; Mammalia; Perissodactyla; Equidae.